GAUGAACGCUGGCGGCGUGCCUAACACAUGCAAGUCGAGCGAACAGACGCGGAGCUUGCCUCUCUGACGUUAGCGGCGGACGGGUGAGUACCAAGCGGAUAACCUACCUAUAAGUCUGGGAUCACUUCGGGAAACCGGAGCUAAUAUCGGCUAAUAUAUUGAACAGCAUGGUUCAAUAGUGAAAGACGGUUUUGCUGUCACUUAUAGACGGAUCCGCGCUGCAUUAGUUAGUUGGUAAGGUAACGGCUUACCAAGGAAACGAUGCGUAGCCGACCUAAAAGAGUGAUCGGCCACACGGGAACGAGGACACGGUCCGACCUCCUACGGAAGGCGGAGUGGGGAAAUCUGGCGCAUGGGGGGAAAGCCUGACGAGCAAACGCGGCGGGGGUGAUGAGGGUCUUCGGUUCGUAAAACUCUGUGAUUGGAGAGAAACAAAGGUGUAAAUAACUAUGCGCGUCUUAACGGUACCUAAGCAGAAAGCCACGCCUAACUACGU
This 496-nucleotide ribosomal RNA is filed under the name uncultured bacterium. RNAcentral's name for it is "partial 16S ribosomal RNA". It matches the Rfam family "Bacterial small subunit ribosomal RNA", at positions 28 to 506 of the family's 1533-position model. The record is from RNAcentral.